UACAGAGGUGGCAAGCGUUGUUCGGAAUUACUGGGCGUAAAGGGCGCGUAGGCGGUCCGAUAAGUCCUGUGUGAAAUCCCUCGGCUCAACUGAGGAACUGCACGGGAGACUGUCGGGCUUGAGUUCGGGAGAGGGAAGCGGAAUUCCGGGUGUAGCGGUGAAAUGCGUAGAUAUCCGGAGGAGCACCGGUGGCGAAGGCGGCUUCCUGGACCGACACUGACGCUGAGGCGCGAAAGCCAGGGGAGCAAACGGG
Molecule: ribosomal RNA, 253 nt
Filed under: uncultured bacterium
Lineage: Bacteria
Description: partial 16S ribosomal RNA
Rfam family: Bacterial small subunit ribosomal RNA
Source: RNAcentral